Populus euphratica (Euphrates poplar) is the source of this 264-nucleotide long non-coding RNA. RefSeq lists it as uncharacterized. The transcript is spliced from 2 exons. Lineage: Eukaryota; Viridiplantae; Streptophyta; Magnoliopsida; Malpighiales; Salicaceae. The record is from RefSeq and is a predicted model, not a curated record.
UGAGUUAAUUGUUCAAGUUUCCCUCUAAAAAAAAAAAACACUCACAAGAUUAAAAUGCCGCCAAUAUCUCCACAGAGCAGCCAUCUCCAACUUGCUGAGGUCAACCUUCGUGGUCCCACGAGGUGUGGAGACAGAGCCCUUAGACUGCGAGUCACAAGAAAGAGACCUGCUCAUAGUCUUGUGAGAUGAUCCUGUUGAUUUAUGAGUCCGAUUCCUUGAUCUAUGGGACUUUUGGGUGUCAUAGGAUGCUGGAAAAUUAGGAGU